AACUCUGUGGUCCAAUGGUAAAGCGUUCGCUGAGGAGCCAGAGGGUCUUGGGUUCGAUCCCAGAUAGGGGUG
RNAcentral lists this transfer RNA (72 nucleotides) under Schistosoma japonicum. Its description in RNAcentral is "tRNA-OTHER". Lineage: Eukaryota; Metazoa; Platyhelminthes; Trematoda; Strigeidida; Schistosomatidae. The record is from RNAcentral.